UCAUUCGGAAAGUCCCAAACCUUCUUUAAAUCAUCACUGAAGAACCUGUUCUAACGGUUUAUCACCAGUCCGGUAAACCUUCUUGACCCUUUUCAAUUUGCUUAUAGGGAGGGAAGAGGCGUCCAGGAUGCUACUGCUACUCUUUUAAAUCUGCUUUUUAAACACCUUGAGGGCAGUAAGAAGCACGCCAGGCUACUUUUUGUCGAUUUCUCCUCGGCUUUUAACACGAUCCAGCCCCAUGUUCUUAUUGACAAGCUAGUUAACACCUUUAGCCUAGACCCAUGUUUAGUAGGUUGGAUACUGGAUUUUUUAACUAACAGAUCCCAAUGUGUUAAGGUGAAUACAACUGUGUCUAGCCUUCUGUCCACCUCCACUGGUUCGCCACAGGGCUGUGUUCUCUCUGCUCUUUUGUUUAUUUUAUACACCGACGACUGUCGCAGUAACCACGACAACCGUUUCAUCCUAAAAUACGCUGAUGAUUCGGUCAUAGUCAGCCUUCUCAAUGAUGAUGAGACUGUGCAUGGCCAGGUUGUAGAGGACUUCCUGACCUGCUGCAACGAUGCAUUCCUUGAGCUGAACAUCUCAAAAACUAAUGAGCUCUGCAUUGAUUUCAGACGUGGCCCCCAUCCCAUUGAGAACACUAUCAUCUGUGACCAGCCAGUGGAAUUUGUGUCUAGUUAUAAAUACCUGGGCACGAUCAUCGACAAUAACCUAAAAUUUGAUGUUAACACGGACAUGCUGUGCAAGAGGGGCCAGCAACGUCUUUACUGCCUUAGGAAACUAGUCAGAUUCAACGUUUCAAAAAGCCUGUUGAAACUGUUUUACUGUGCAUAUAUACACUCGGUCAUCUCCUUCUCUCUCAUCUGCUGGUUUGGUAACCUCACUGUCAAGGACAAAAAUUCUCUUGGCAUUAUUGUUAAAACUGCCUCCAAAAUCACUGGCAUCCAGCUAGAGGGCCUCAAUUACUUUUAUAACAGACAGCUGUUCAAGAAAACCUCUCAUAUCCGUCUUGACAGUGCCCACCCGCUGAGCUCUGAGUUCAGGCUGUUGCCUUCUGGCAAACGUUUGUGUUUACCAAGGAUCAGCAGGAAUAGAUACGGGUAUUCUUUUGUCCCUGCAGCCAUCCGGGCAUUCAAUGCGGCCAGCAGCAGAUAAUUUAUUUUACUUGUGUUGCGAUGACUUUUUUUUAAUCUAUUUUAAUGUUUUAAUGUUUUAAUGUUUUAAUUUGUAUUUUACAUUUUUUAUAUCCUGGCACUUUAUCUUUCGAGCACUUUGUCUCCACAGUGUUUUGUGUUCAUUGUUGUUUUGUCUUGUCUUGUGGGUUAAACCACUUCUCCUGGCUGCGAACAAAUUUGCCCUCGUGGGACAUUUAAUAAAAUCUUGAAUCUUGAAU
Molecule: long non-coding RNA, 1393 nt
Filed under: Gadus morhua (Atlantic cod)
Lineage: Eukaryota; Metazoa; Chordata; Actinopteri; Gadiformes; Gadidae
Description: lncRNA (ENSGMOG00000024471.1)
Source: RNAcentral